ACUUCCGGGGCGGCGGUUGCAUCAGAUUCUAGGAAGUGUCUGUAGCCGCAGCUGCGGGUCCGGGAUUCCCAGCCAUGGCAGAUUCCUCCGGGCAGCAGGUCUCCAGGUGAAGAGGCGACUUGCACUUCCUGGUGCUGCCCCUGGACCCUGAUCCUGCUCUCUCUGCCUCCCAGGCAAAGGCCGGCGUGUGCAACCCCAGUGGUCCCCUCCUGCUGGGACCCAGCCAUGCAGACUCCACCUUUACAACAGCCUCACCAGGAACAAGGAAGUGUUCAUACCUCAAGAUGGGAAAAAGGUGACGUGGUAUUGCUGUGGGCCAACCGUCUAUGACGCAUCUCACAUGGGGCACGCCAGGUCCUACAUCUCUUUUGAUAUCUUGAGAAGAGUGUUGAAGGAUUACUUCAAAUUUGAUGUCUUUUAUUGCAUGAACAUUACGGAUAUUGAUGACAAGAUCAUCAAGAGGGCCCGGCAGAACCACCUGUUCGAGCAGUAUCGGGAGAAGAGGCCUGAAGCGGCACAGCUCUUGGAGGAUGUUCAGGCCGCCCUGAAG
Molecule: small RNA, 550 nt
Filed under: Pan troglodytes (chimpanzee)
Lineage: Eukaryota; Metazoa; Chordata; Mammalia; Primates; Hominidae
Description: processed transcript
Source: RNAcentral